Molecule: long non-coding RNA, 1118 nt
Filed under: Sinocyclocheilus grahami
Lineage: Eukaryota; Metazoa; Chordata; Actinopteri; Cypriniformes; Cyprinidae
Description: lncRNA (ENSSGRG00000036245.1)
Source: RNAcentral
UUAUUUGGUUGCAUGUAAACAUAGCCAGUGAAACGGUUUUUAACAUUGUCAAUGUCUAACCUUGAUAGGUCGGUCUUAUCCUCCGCUCCGCUUUCUUCUUCUUCUUCUCUCCCUCCAUUGUCCUCUCUUUCUUCUUUCGAAGGUUCUGACUCCUUAACAAGAUCCACAAAGACUGGAGUGGGCAGUUCCUCUUCUUUCAUCUUCUCAAAAAUGUCUACCUCCUCUUUAUCCUUUUUCAUUUUACGUCCUCCUUUUCUCGGAGGAGUAGCAGGAGUAGGUGGGCUCCUCUUUAAGACAGACACGGGAACACCUCCUCUUCUGGGAGGAGUCGCUGGGGCAGGACUUUUGCGAGUAGGGCUAGAGAGGGCAGGGCUCCUUCUGACUGGAGACAAAGAAGAAGCAGGAGAGAUCGGAAGUGACGGCCACAGUAAACACAGCGCUGUUUCUGUGCCAUGGUGCUCUGCCCACGACCCACUGACACAUUGACACUAUUAGCAGCAACUCCUGCAGGCGGCGGGCACUUAAACACAGGUCUGGAGGGAGCAGUGGGCUGCAGUGUGGAGGACGGGAGGGAGUGUGGAAAAGGGGGAGGAUGGCUGGUGGGUCGCUGAAGUGCUUUUCUUUUAGCAUGUGCAACAGAAGAGGACAGAGCUUUGUGCCUCUUGCGGCGGUGAAGUAAUCGUAUGCGCUUCUCUCCAUUGGCAUCAUCCGAGUCGAGGUCUGAAUCACUGGGCUCAGAGUGAGACAGAGGAGAAGAGGAAGGAGAGAGAGACCAGGAAGGUGUGAGGUAUUCUGAUGCAGAAAGUGGAACUGGGCCGGACUCUUCCUCCUUAGAAAAAAAGCACAUGGAUUUCUAAGAUCUGUUAAAGGGUGAAUAAUCUGGCUUAGCGCUCAUUUUACUUCUGUAACAUAUAUAAAUUACUAUUUUUUUUAAAUGUAAUGACUGAAAGUGAAAAAUGUAGGACAGAACUUAUUUGUAUCCACCUGAAAAUGACUAAACACCACCAACACUCAUUUUGAAGAGGUUUUUGACCAGAAUGUGGAGGCUGAAGGUCCUCAGAAGCAUUCAAACAAUGAUUUUUCUUGUCAAUUAAUUGCUAUUAUUGUCUUAAAGGGAU